GACGAACGCUGGCGGCGUGCUUAACACAUGCAAGUCGAACGGAAAGGCCCUGCUUUUGUUGGUUGCUCGAUUGGCGAACGGGUGAGUAACACGUGAGUAACCUGCCCUUGACUUUGUGAUAACUUCAGGAAACUGGGGCUAAUACCGGAUAGGAGCUCCUGCUGCAUGGUGGUGGUUGGAAAGUUUCGGCGGUUGGGGAUGGACUCGCGGCUUAUCAGCUUGUUUGUGUGGUAGGUGCUUACCAAGGGUUUGACGGGUAGCCGGCCUGAGAGGGUGACCGGCCACCUUGGGACUGAGGUACGGACCAGAAUGGUACGGGAGGCAGCAGGGGGGAAUAUUGCACAGUGGGCGGAAGCGUGAUGCAGAGACGCCGCGUGCGGGAUGACGGGCUUUGGGUUGUAAACAGCUUUCGACUGUGACGAAGCGUGAGUGACGGUAAUGGGUAAAGAAGCCACGGCUAACUACGUG
This 468-nucleotide ribosomal RNA is filed under the name uncultured bacterium. RNAcentral describes it as "partial 16S ribosomal RNA". It matches the Rfam family "Bacterial small subunit ribosomal RNA", at positions 28 to 507 of the family's 1533-position model. The record is from RNAcentral.